Molecule: ribosomal RNA, 397 nt
Filed under: uncultured bacterium
Lineage: Bacteria
Description: partial 16S ribosomal RNA
Rfam family: Bacterial small subunit ribosomal RNA
Source: RNAcentral
AUACGUAGGUGACAAGCGUUAUCCGGAUUUACUGGGCGUAAAGGGCGUGUAGGCGGUCUUGCAAGUCAGAAGUGAAAUUCCUGAGCUCAACUCGGGCGCUGCUUCUGAAACUGCAGGACUUGAGUGCUGGAGGGGAUAGCGGAAUUCCUAGUGGAGCGGUAAAAUGCGCAGAUAUUAGGAAGAACACCGGUGGCGAAGGCGGUUAUCUGGACAGAAACUGACGCUGAGGCGCGAAAGCGUGGGGAGCAAACAGGAUUAGAUACCCUGGUUGUCCACGCCGUAAACGAUGAAUACUAGGUGUAGGGGGUAUCGACUCCCUCUGUGCCGCAGUUAACACAAUAAGUAUUCCGCCUGGGGAGUACGGCCGCAAGGUUGAAACUCAAAUGAAUUGACGGGG